GGCCGCUUGGCGUAGUGGUAUCGCGCUUGCUUUGGGUUUCACCGCUUCCUAUAGGGAGCGAACUCGAAAUGCAAGAGGUCACGAGUUCGAUCCUCGUAGCGGCCC
Non-coding RNA from Melanopsichium pennsylvanicum, 105 nucleotides. Lineage: Eukaryota; Fungi; Basidiomycota; Ustilaginomycetes; Ustilaginales. The record is from the annotation of a GenBank genome assembly.